RNAcentral lists this ribosomal RNA (474 nucleotides) under uncultured bacterium. RNAcentral describes it as "bacterial SSU rRNA". It matches the Rfam family "Bacterial small subunit ribosomal RNA", at positions 28 to 498 of the family's 1533-position model. The record is from RNAcentral.
GAUGAACGCUAGCGGCAGGCUUAAUACAUGCAAGUCGUGGGGCAGCAUGAGUAGCAAUACUUGAUGGCGACCGGCAAACGGGUGAGGAACACGUACACAACCUUCCUUCAAGCGGGGAAUAGCCCAGAGAAAUUUGGAUUAAUACCCCAUAAUAUAUUUGAUAAGGCAUCUUAUUAAUAUUAAAGCUUCGGCACUUGAUGAUGGGUGUGCGGCUGAUUAGAUAGUUGGCGGGGUAACGGCCCACCAAGUCUACGAUCAGUAGCUGAUGUGAGAGCACGAUCAGCCACACGGGCACUGAGACACGGGCCCGACUCCUACGGGAGGCAGCAGUAAGGAAUAUUGGACAAUGGACGAAAGUCUGAUCCAGCCAUGCCGCGUGAAGGAUUAAGGUCCUCUGGAUUGUAAACUUCUUUAUAUGGGACGAAAAAGGGCAUUCUUGUUCACUUGACGGUACCAUAUGAAUAAGCACCGGCU